GACGAACGCUGGCGGCGUGCUUAACACAUGCAAGUCGAACGGAAAGGCCCUGCUUGCAGGGUGCUCGAGUGGCGAACGGGUGAGUAACACGUGGGUGAUCUGCCCCUUACUUUGGGAUAAGCCUGGGAAACUGGGUCUAAUACUGGAUAGGACCAUGCUGUAGGUGGUGUGGUGGAAAGAUUAGUUUCGGUAAGGGAUGAGCUCGCGGCCUAUCAGCUUGUUGGUGGGGUAAUGGCCUACCAAGGCGUCGACGGGUAGCCGGCCUGAGAGGGUGGACGGCCACAUUGGGACUGAGAUACGGCCCAGACUCCUACGGGAGGCAGCAGAGGGGAAUAUUGCACAAUGGGCGCAAGCCUGAUGCAGCGACGCCGCGUGGGGGAUGACGGCCUUCGGGCUGUAAACUCCUUUCAGCCAUGACGAAGCCCUUGUGGUGACGGUAGUGGUAGAAGAAGCACCGGCUAACUACGUG
Molecule: ribosomal RNA, 469 nt
Filed under: uncultured bacterium
Lineage: Bacteria
Description: partial 16S ribosomal RNA
Rfam family: Bacterial small subunit ribosomal RNA
Source: RNAcentral